This 1164-nucleotide ribosomal RNA is filed under the name Salmonella enterica subsp. enterica. RNAcentral's name for it is "partial 23S ribosomal RNA". It matches the Rfam family "Bacterial large subunit ribosomal RNA", at positions 711 to 1781 of the family's 2925-position model. Lineage: Bacteria; Pseudomonadati; Pseudomonadota; Gammaproteobacteria; Enterobacterales; Enterobacteriaceae. The record is from RNAcentral.
AGACCCGAAACCCGGUGAUCUAGCCAUGGGCAGGUUGAAGGUUGGGUAACACUAACUGGAGGACCGAACCGACUAAUGUUGAAAAAUUAGCGGAUGACCUGUGGCUGGGGGUGAAAGGCCAAUCAAACCGGGAGAUAGCUGGUUCUCCCCGAAAGCUAUUUAGGUAGCGCCUCGUGAACUCAUCUCCGGGGGUAGAGCACUGUUUCGGCUAGGGGGCCAUCCCGGCUUACCAACCCGAUGCAAACUGCGAAUACCGGAGAAUGUUAUCACGGGAGACACACGGCGGGUGCUAACGUCCGUCGUGAAGAGGGAAACAACCCAGACCGCCAGCUAAGGUCCCAAAGUCAUGGUUAAGUGGGAAACGAUGUGGGAAGGCCCAGACAGCCAGGAUGUUGGCUUAGAAGCAGCCAUCAUUUAAAGAAAGCGUAAUAGCUCACUGGUCGAGUCGGCCUGCGCGGAAGAUGUAACGGGGCUAAACCAUGCACCGAAGCUGCGGCAGCGAACGUAUCACCCAAGACAACUUUGCGGAGUUGACGAUUGACGGAGCGAAGCGACGUCAAAGCGUUCAUUAAAGUCGAGUUGGCUUAGGGAUACGUUCGUUGGGUAGGGGAGCGUUCUGUAAGCCAGUGAAGGUGUGUCGUGAGGCAUGCUGGAGGUAUCAGAAGUGCGAAUGCUGACAUAAGUAACGAUAAAGCGGGUGAAAAGCCCGCUCGCCGGAAGACCAAGGGUUCCUGUCCAACGUUAAUCGGGGCAGGGUGAGUCGACCCCUAAGGCGAGGCCGAAAGGCGUAGUCGAUGGGAAACGGGUUAAUAUUCCCGUACUUGGUGUUACUGCGAAGGGGGGACGGAGAAGGCUAUGUUGGCCGGGCGACGGUUGUCCCGGUUUAAGCGUGUAGGUGUGUGUUCCAGGUAAAUCCGGUUCACUUUAACACUGAGGCGUGAUGACGAGGCACUACGGUGCUGAAGCAACAAAUGCCCUGCUUCCAGGAAAAGCCUCUAAGCAUCAGGUAACAUCAAAUCGUACCCCAAACCGACACAGGUGGUCAGGUAGAGAAUACCAAGGCGCUUGAGAGAACUCGGGUGAAGGAACUAGGCAAAAUGGUGCCGUAACUUCGGGAGAAGGCACGCUGACACGUAGGUGAAGUGAUUUACUCAUGGAGCUGAA